GGCUCUUUGAUAAAAAUUGAUAAGGAGUUGGACCUGCCCAGUGAAAAGUUUUAACGGCCGCGGUACUCUGACCGUGCAAAGGUAGCAUAAUCAUUUGCCUUAUAAUUGAAGGCUUGUAUGAAUGGUUUGACAAGAAUAUAGCUGUCUCUAUAUAAUUUUAUAGAAUUUUAUUUUGAAGUGAAGAAGCUUCAAUAUUAUUAAUAGACAAGAAGACCCUAUCGAGCUUGAAAAAAGAUAGUAGAAGUAUUAAAAUAACAUUAAAAAAUAGUCUAUUAUAAAUUUUGGUUGGGGCGACUUAGGAACAGAAAAAGCUUCCUAGAUAUUAAAAGAAAAACAAAAUGAUCCAAAAUAUUUUGAUUAAGGAAAUUAGUUACCGUAGGGAUAACAGCAUUAUCUUCUUUGAGAGUUCAUAUCGAAAAGAGGGUUUGUGACCUCGAUGUUGGACCAGAAUAUCCUGAAGAUGUAGCAGUCUUCAAGGGUUGGUCUGUUCGACCAUUAAAAUUCUACG
This 508-nucleotide ribosomal RNA is filed under the name Parvanachis obesa. Its description in RNAcentral is "partial large subunit ribosomal RNA". It matches the Rfam family "Bacterial large subunit ribosomal RNA", at positions 1816 to 2600 of the family's 2925-position model. The record is from RNAcentral. Lineage: Eukaryota; Metazoa; Mollusca; Gastropoda; Neogastropoda; Columbellidae.